UGGUGUGAAAGAGCUGGAUGACAUCAGCCAGGAGAUCGCACAGCUGCAGAGAGAGAAAUAUUCACUGGAACAAGACAUCAGAGAAAAGGAAGAGGCAAUCAGACAGAAAGCCAGCGAAGUACAGGAAUUACAAAAUGACCUGGACCGAGAAACUAGUAGUCUGCAGGAACUUGAGGCUCAGAAACAGGAUGCUCAGGACCGCCUGGAUGAGAUGGACCAGCAGAAGGCUAAGCUGCGGGACAUGCUGAGUGACGUGCGGCAGAAAUGCCAGGAUGAGACCCAGACGAUCUCAUCAUUGAAAACCCAGAUCCAGUCUCAGGAGUCAGACUUGAAGUCCCAGGAGGAUGACCUGAACCGGGCCAAGUCAGAGCUGAAUCGGCUGCAGCAGGAGGAGACACAGCUGGAGCAGAGCAUCCAGGCUGGGCGCGCGCAGCUGGAGACCAUCCUCAGGUCCCUGAAGUGCACACAGGAUGACAUCAACCAGGCAAGAAGCAAGCUGUCCCAGCUACAGGAAAGCCACCUAGAAGCUCACCGGAGCCUGGAACAGUACGACCAGGUGCCUGAUGGGGUCUCUGGUACCAGCCUGCCUGACCUGGCCACCUUGAAUGAAGGCAUCUUGCUGGCAGAGAGGGGCGGCUUUGGAGCCAUGGUAAAGGUCGAGUAAGAGUCUCCAGGUCCACGUGGGCUCUGCUGCAGCUGUAGAUCUGCUUACAACAAUAUCUGGCUAUCUGCCUGCGCAGGGCCCAGGGCUGGUGGCCAAGUUCCUCCUGUCAUCUAGAAACUGUGAGGCCCAGGAGUUCCAUCUCCUCAGAAGUGUUUCUUUUGGGCCAAUUGCCCAAAUGUGGAGGGCAAACCUAACCAAAGCUAG
This 868-nucleotide long non-coding RNA is filed under the name Rattus norvegicus (Norway rat). RNAcentral's name for it is "long non-coding RNA NONRATT011351". The record is from RNAcentral. Lineage: Eukaryota; Metazoa; Chordata; Mammalia; Rodentia; Muridae.